This is a long non-coding RNA of Leopardus geoffroyi (Geoffroy's cat), 1500 nucleotides long. RefSeq lists it as uncharacterized. Lineage: Eukaryota; Metazoa; Chordata; Mammalia; Carnivora; Felidae. The transcript is spliced from 2 exons. The record is from RefSeq and is a predicted model, not a curated record.
CUGGGCCUCCUGGUCCUGUUCCCACACUGGACAAACAGGGCCUAGAAUUGGGAUUUUGCUGCAGGGUCCCCAAGGCUCGGGCAGGCCCCACGGCCCACGCUCUUUGGCCUCCUGAAGCAUAAGGCUCUCCAGGUUGGAACUGUGAGCUGCUUCAAAGCAUCAUCUGUGGCCUCCUGAGUACCCGGCCUCCAGAAGAUCAGAAAAUCCUUGUUAAUUAAAGUGAACAACGAACCCCCUAUACAUUCACACACUCCCUCCCACACACUUAUCCCCCCCUCCACACACACACACACACACACACACACACACACACACACACACUCCUCUAGGACUAGAAAGCUUGUAUUCAUUCUUUAAAGUCCAGAUCGGAUGGCUCCUCCUCCAGAAAGCCCUCCUGGACUCCUAGACAGAGAGCCCCGGGGCCUCCAGCCCAGCAUCAAAGCUUCUGUGUGGGAUGAAGUAGAAGGAGUGAGGCUUCUGAGUUUCCUGCCCAAGACCACAGAAGGAUGGGAUAAAGGGAGACUGGGCAGUGGCCAGCACCACUGGGGAGCAUGGGUGUCAGGCUCAGAUAUAGAGUCAUUGCUUCCCUCUACCACCCCCCCCCCUUAAGCCAGCUUCCUUUUCUUUGUCAUGUGGAGAACUCCCAUCCCCCACCCCCUAUCAGCAUGGGGGCCCACACGGUAGCAAACUGAACAUUCUGGAAGCUUUCUCAUGCCCCAAGGACACUGGGGAGAAGCCACUGGCUUCUCCCCAUGUUCAGGAAUCAAGGGGACUCCGCCCAGAUCCCUCCUCAACUCCAUUCUCCAUCACUCUCCCUUAUCUCACCCCUUCCCACAUCCUGGUUGUGCAGACCCCCCUUCCUCUUAUGAUCUGAGCAAAUCAUCAUAAUUGCCUCUCUAGGAAUGUCAGUGAUCAAAAGAGUGGAGUCUGGUGCCAGGAGCCAUGCUGAGCAUUGCACUCAGAGCACUUCACUUCAGCCUCCCCGAACCUUAAGAGGUGGAAAACUGUAUUUAUUUCCAUUUACAGAGGAGGAAGCUGAGGCUCCGAGUCGCCUCCCGAGGGUCACCCUGCUUGUGAAUGGCAGAGCAGAAACCUGACCCAGCUCCCUCUAGAACAGAGCUGGAGAGAGGUCCUGAGACCCCCACCAUGUCUCUCUGGGCCCCUUCUCCUGUCCUCUGAUGGUCUCAGACUAAGUCAUCAGAGGUCAGCUCCCUCCACUCCCUCCCCCUGCCCCACCCCUGCCUCCUGGGAGUCCCUGGGACCAGCCUCUCCACAGGUGGUGAGGCUAAUUCCAGGCCUGACACCACCAGCUCAGGAAAGGGAUCCCUCCCCCAGGAGCUGCGGGCUAGCUGGCUAGCUAGCUCGGUGGCCUUGUAGGGUAGACCCUUGUCACUGGAAUGUCCUCUUGUUCAGGGAGCUCCCGGAGUGGAAUCUGAUGCUGGGGAGAGGAGAAGGAGGCUAGGAAUGGCAUUAAAGCUCUGCUCUGCCCCCUGCCCUGUA